Molecule: ribosomal RNA, 495 nt
Filed under: uncultured bacterium
Lineage: Bacteria
Description: partial 16S ribosomal RNA
Rfam family: Bacterial small subunit ribosomal RNA
Source: RNAcentral
GAUGAACGCUGGCGGCGUGCCUAAUACAUGCAAGUCGAGCGAACAGACGAGGAGCUUGCUCCUCUGACGUUAGCGGCGGACGGGUGAGUAACACGUGGAUAACCUACCUAUAAGACUGGGAUAACUUCGGGAAACCGGAGCUAAUACCGGAUAAUAUAUUGAACCGCAUGGUUCAAUAGUGAAAGACGGUUUUGCUGUCACUUAUAGAUGGAUCCGCGCCGCAUUAGCUAGUUGGUAAGGUAACGGCUUACCAAGGCAACGAUGCGUAGCCGACCUGAGAGGGUGAUCGGCCACACUGGAACUGAGACACGGUCCAGACUCCUACGGGAGGCAGCAGUAGGGAAUCUUCCGCAAUGGGCGAAAGCUUGACGGAGCAACGCCGCGUGAGUGAUGAAGGUCUUCGGAUCGUAAAACUCUGUUAUUAGGGAAGAACAAAUGUGUAAGUAACUAUGCACGUCUUGACGGUAUCUAAUCAGAAAGCCACGGCUAACUACG